AAAGUAAUUUAUACUACUAGUAAUUGAGUGAAGAUAAUUUCUUAGUUUGGGGGCUUGGCAUUCAGUAGGAAUGUUUUAGAAGAGUAAUGGAAAGAUGGGGAGCGAGACGUCCAGGUAGGUACGAACUAACAUGAGGGAUGGACACAAUGUAUAUACAAUCAUACAUGCGCACAGGGAGGGAGUGGCAGAUGGAGAGAUGUAGUUCAGGAGAUAGGGAAUAGUGUUUAUUUUAAAGGAUGGGGAUGCAGUGUUAAAAUUUCAAGGGUAAUUUGAAUUGUGGUUAUUGCUACAUUGUGAAAUAGUGAAUGUUCCUUCUGGUUAAUUGCCAUAAUUACUACAGAAUAUACUCUAGUUAGGUAUCCUGAACAUAAGUUGCCUUAAUUCCUAAGUAUUAUCUAUUUAAGGAUAAUCAUGAUGCUUUUUACCUACAUUAUUUGAUAUGUAUAUGAAAUAUGCCAGAACUGAAUGAUUUUGACUAAAAUUAAAUAUUUUGUGAUUUAUGUAAUGCUGAUUAAAUUUUUCCUUGAACAGGUGUGCAUUUGCAAGCUUUCAUCCUACUCCGGUCCAGUUUAAGUGCCUCUGGGCUGUCAACCAGGAAGUCUUUGGAGGUAAAUGUUUGUGUCCCUGGGCAACCUUUUCUUACUCUGAUCCAGUUAUAGUGCAAGGUACAUGUGUAAUGUGCAGACUACUUUGCAGUACCCCUGGGUCUCUCAAACCUCAACCAAGAAGACUGAGGAUGGGAAGGUGCUUUAUUACACCAUCUACAGGUGAGGUAAAUUUGAUUUUAAAUA
Non-coding RNA from Cherax quadricarinatus, 791 nucleotides. The record is from RefSeq and is a predicted model, not a curated record. NCBI's taxonomy places the organism in Eukaryota, Metazoa, Arthropoda, Malacostraca, Decapoda, Parastacidae.